This 500-nucleotide ribosomal RNA is filed under the name uncultured Sphingobacteriales bacterium. RNAcentral's name for it is "bacterial SSU rRNA". It matches the Rfam family "Bacterial small subunit ribosomal RNA", at positions 880 to 1382 of the family's 1533-position model. Lineage: Bacteria; Pseudomonadati; Bacteroidota; Sphingobacteriia; Sphingobacteriales. The record is from RNAcentral.
UUGCCAGCCCGCUCAGAAACUCAAAGGAAUUGACGGGGCCCGCACAAGCGGAGGAGCAUGUGGUUUAAUUCGAUGAUACGCGAGGAACCUUACCUGGGCUCGAACGUAAGAUGACUGUAGGUGAAAGCUUACAUCUCUUCGGAGCAUUUUACGAGGUGCUGCAUGGUUGUCGUCAGCUCGUGCCGUGAGGUGUCGGGUUAAGUCCCAUAACGAGCGCAACCCCUACCUUUAGUUGCCAUCAGGUAAUGCUGGGGACUCUAAAGGAACUGCCUACGCAAGUAGUGAGGAAGGCGGGGAUGACGUCAAAUCAGCACGGCCCUUACGUCCAGGGCUACACACGUGCUACAAUGGCCGAUACAGAGGGCAGCUACCUGGUGACAGGAUGCAAAUCUCCAAAGUCGGUCUCAGUUCGGAUCGGAGUCUGCAACCCGACUCCGUGAAGUUGGAUUCGCUAGUAAUCGCGCAUCAGCCAUGGCGCGGUGAAUACGUUCCCGGGCCUU